RNAcentral lists this ribosomal RNA (264 nucleotides) under uncultured Oscillibacter sp. RNAcentral's name for it is "partial 16S ribosomal RNA". It matches the Rfam family "Bacterial small subunit ribosomal RNA", at positions 72 to 339 of the family's 1533-position model. Lineage: Bacteria; Bacillati; Bacillota; Clostridia; Eubacteriales; Oscillospiraceae. The record is from RNAcentral.
UCAAAUGACUUUUGAACUUAGUGGCGGACGGGUGAGUAACGCGUGAGGAACCUGCCUUUCAGAGGGGGACAACAGUUGGAAACGACUGCUAAUACCGCAUGACACAUAGGUGUCGCAUGGCACUUAUGUCAAAGAUUUAUCGCUGGAAGAUGGCCUCGCGUCUGAUUAGCUAGAUGGUGGGGUAACGGCCCACCAUGGCGACGAUCAGUAGCCGGACUGAGAGGUUGACCGGCCACAUUGGGACUGAGAUACGGCCCAGACUCC